RNAcentral lists this ribosomal RNA (301 nucleotides) under uncultured bacterium. RNAcentral's name for it is "partial 16S ribosomal RNA". It matches the Rfam family "Bacterial small subunit ribosomal RNA", at positions 509 to 807 of the family's 1533-position model. The record is from RNAcentral.
CAGUAGCCGCGGUAAGACAGAGGAUGCAAGCGUUAUCCGGAAUGAUUGGGCGUAAAGGGCUCGCAGGCGGUUUCUUAAGUCUGAUGUGAAAGCCCCCGGCUCAACCGGGGAGGGUCAUUGGAAACUGGGAAACUUGAGUGCAGAAGAGGAGAGUGGAAUUCCACGUGAAGCGGUGAAAUGCGUAGAGAUGUGGAGGAACACCAGUGGCGAAGGCGACUCUCUGGUCUGUAACUGACGCUGAGGAGCGAAAGCGUGGGGAGCGAACAGGAUUAGAGACCCCCGUAGUCCCUGUCUCUUAUAC